This 1209-nucleotide long non-coding RNA is filed under the name Bemisia tabaci. RNAcentral describes it as "lncRNA ENSSSA2NGG012847". The record is from RNAcentral. Lineage: Eukaryota; Metazoa; Arthropoda; Insecta; Hemiptera; Aleyrodidae.
CACACAGUUUGACCCUCCCCAGUUUCGCGUACGACGCGGCCCUAAAAAUGACGAAGGCUAGGAUUAAACUACUUAGCGACGGUGACAUGGUUUUAAUGAUUCGAAGUUCGGUUCGCAGGGGGGAUCACCCAAGGUGUUCACCGGUUCGCGCAAGCGAACAACCCAUUAUAUCCCAAUACGUAUAGACCUUCGGAGCCCAUCUCGUAUAUUCAAUAUCUAGAUGUAGCCGCACUUUACGGUCAUACAAUGUGUCGUCCUCUGUGAUAGAGAGCUCCCCGCGUCGCCCUCUAUCCCGUUAACUCAUCAGAGGGCACCAAGCACGGUUCAUCUGCCCGCCGUAUUGACAGCUCGAAUUCAUUUUCUCCCUUACAUCCCUGUAACUGCGCAGGCAGAUCAACCCUGGGGCGCCCACUAUAAAACACCGAUUAGCCGCUGCUCCGAUCGCAGUUCAGAUUUCAUCCCUUAACCUUUUUAGAGUUUUCUCCCCGACGCUCGUCGCCACCUUCGCCCAGCCACGUACGGCUCAUCGCUCGCUCGAUCUCUCGUCCUGCCACGAACGGCUAUAGCUAUCCUCACACGGUGAGUUCUUAUCCUCGCCUGGCAGGCCCUUACUUGCACGGCAAAACACUUCGGUACUCGGUACCAUAUAUCAGCGUACGACGCUCGCCCGCCAAGUGUGUGUGUUCUACUUAGUAGCUUUCACUUGUAGUUCUCUCACUUGUCGUUCUUUCACUUGUAGUUCUCUCACUUGUAGUUCUUUCACUUGUAGUUCUUUCACUUGUAGUUCUCUCACCUUGUAGUUCUAUCAUUAUAUCUUAGCCAUCGAUCAGUUGCGUUUUCUUUAGUUUUCCCUCACUCUCGUGAGAAGGUGGUUGCUGAUCCUGGACUAGCCCGGAUCGGCUCCCAACACCUCUACCCUACGAUGAUUAUAAAUGGUAGAUAAGGACGAAUUCGUAUCGUUGGAAAAGAAUAUCACAUUCGUCCCCGACGACGCCCAUGAAGGCUUCAUUGUUGAUUGCGAUUUAAUUUAUUCAGAGCAUUUGUAUGACCAUCAUCCCGAUGGAAAAAAUUCUAAUUUUUUUUUUUUUUUUUAGAAAGAAAAUUGGAUAAUUGAAAAAUAUAGAGGUAGUAUAGAAUACGUGAAUGAUGGAGGUAAUUUAGAGAAGAUUAAAGAAAGUAGAAUGUAGCUAUACACGUAAGGAGUUGUUU